RNAcentral lists this ribosomal RNA (2559 nucleotides) under Klebsiella pneumoniae. RNAcentral describes it as "partial 23S ribosomal RNA". It matches the Rfam family "Bacterial large subunit ribosomal RNA", at positions 396 to 2925 of the family's 2925-position model. The record is from RNAcentral. Lineage: Bacteria; Pseudomonadati; Pseudomonadota; Gammaproteobacteria; Enterobacterales; Enterobacteriaceae.
GCUGUGAACUCGAAGAGUAGGGCGGGACACGUGGUAUCCUGUCUGAAUAUGGGGGGACCAUCCUCCAAGGCUAAAUACUCCUGACUGACCGAUAGUGAACCAGUACCGUGAGGGAAAGGCGAAAAGAACCCCGGCGAGGGGAGUGAAAAAGAACCUGAAACCGUGUACGUACAAGCAGUGGGAGCACCUUCGGGUGUGACUGCGUACCUUUUGUAUAAUGGGUCAGCGACUUAUAUUCUGUAGCAAGGUUAACCGUAUAGGGGAGCCGCAGGGAAACCGAGUCUUAACUGGGCGUUAAGUUGCAGGGUAUAGACCCGAAACCCGGUGAUCUAGCCAUGGGCAGGUUGAAGGUUGGGUAACACUAACUGGAGGACCGAACCGACUAAUGUUGAAAAAUUAGCGGAUGACUUGUGGCUGGGGGUGAAAGGCCAAUCAAACCGGGAGAUAGCUGGUUCUCCCCGAAAGCUAUUUAGGUAGCGCCUCGUGAAUUCAUCUUCGGGGGUAGAGCACUGUUUCGGCUAGGGGGUCAUCCCGACUUACCAACCCGAUGCAAACUACGAAUACCGAAGAAUGUUAUCACGGGAGACACACGGCGGGUGCUAACGUCCGUCGUGAAGAGGGAAACAACCCAGACCGCCAGCUAAGGUCCCAAAGUCAUGGUUAAGUGGGAAACGAUGUGGGAAGGCACAGACAGCCAGGAUGUUGGCUUAGAAGCAGCCAUCAUUUAAAGAAAGCGUAAUAGCUCACUGGUCGAGUCGGCCUGCGCGGAAGAUGUAACGGGGCUAAACCAUGCACCGAAGCUGCGGCAGCGACACUAUGUGUUGUUGGGUAGGGGAGCGUUCUGUAAGCCUGCGAAGGUGACCUGUGAGGGUUGCUGGAGGUAUCAGAAGUGCGAAUGCUGACAUAAGUAACGAUAAAGCGGGUGAAAAGCCCGCUCGCCGGAAGACCAAGGGUUCCUGUCCAACGUUAAUCGGGGCAGGGUGAGUCGACCCCUAAGGCGAGGCCGAAAGGCGUAGUCGAUGGGAAACAGGUUAAUAUUCCUGUACUUGGUGUUACUGCGAAGGGGGGACGGAGAAGGCUAUGUUAGCCGGGCGACGGUUGUCCCGGUUUAAGCAUGUAGGCUGGUUGUCCAGGCAAAUCCGGAUAAUCAAGGCUGAGGUGUGAUGACGAGGCACUACGGUGCUGAAGUAACAAAUGCCCUGCUUCCAGGAAAAGCCUCUAAGCAUCAGGUAACAUCAAAUCGUACCCCAAACCGACACAGGUGGUCAGGUAGAGAAUACCAAGGCGCUUGAGAGAACUCGGGUGAAGGAACUAGGCAAAAUGGUGCCGUAACUUCGGGAGAAGGCACGCUGGUGUGUAGGUGAAGUCCCUGCGGAUGGAGCUGAGACCAGUCGAAGAUACCAGCUGGCUGCAACUGUUUAUUAAAAACACAGCACUGUGCAAACACGAAAGUGGACGUAUACGGUGUGACGCCUGCCCGGUGCCGGAAGGUUAAUUGAUGGGGUUAUCCGUAAGGAGAAGCUCUUGAUCGAAGCCCCGGUAAACGGCGGCCGUAACUAUAACGGUCCUAAGGUAGCGAAAUUCCUUGUCGGGUAAGUUCCGACCUGCACGAAUGGCGUAAUGAUGGCCAGGCUGUCUCCACCCGAGACUCAGUGAAAUUGAACUCGCUGUGAAGAUGCAGUGUACCCGCGGCAAGACGGAAAGACCCCGUGAACCUUUACUAUAGCUUGACACUGAACAUUGAGCCUUGAUGUGUAGGAUAGGUGGGAGGCUUUGAAGCGUGGACGCCAGUCUGCGUGGAGCCAACCUUGAAAUACCACCCUUUAAUGUUUGAUGUUCUAACGUUGGCCCCUUACCGGGGUUGCGGACAGUGUCUGGUGGGUAGUUUGACUGGGGCGGUCUCCUCCCAAAGCGUAACGGAGGAGCACGAAGGUUAGCUAAUCCUGGUCGGACAUCAGGAGGUUAGUGCAAUGGCAUAAGCUAGCUUGACUGCGAGCGUGACGGCGCGAGCAGGUGCGAAAGCAGGUCAUAGUGAUCCGGUGGUUCUGAAUGGAAGGGCCAUCGCUCAACGGAUAAAAGGUACUCCGGGGAUAACAGGCUGAUACCGCCCAAGAGUUCAUAUCGACGGCGGUGUUUGGCACCUCGAUGUCGGCUCAUCACAUCCUGGGGCUGAAGUAGGUCCCAAGGGUAUGGCUGUUCGCCAUUUAAAGUGGUACGCGAGCUGGGUUUAGAACGUCGUGAGACAGUUCGGUCCCUAUCUGCCGUGGGCGCUGGAGAAUUGAGGGGGGCUGCUCCUAGUACGAGAGGACCGGAGUGGACGCAUCACUGGUGUUCGGGUUGUCAUGCCAAUGGCACUGCCCGGUAGCUAAAUGCGGAAGAGAUAAGUGCUGAAAGCAUCUAAGCACGAAACUUGCCCCGAGAUGAGUUCUCCCUGAGACUUUAAGUCUCCUGAAGGAACGUUGAAGACGACGACGUUGAUAGGCCGGGUGUGUAAGCGCAGCGAUGCGUUGAGCUAACCGGUACUAAUGAACCGUGAGGCUUAACCUUACAACGCCGAAG